AACGCUAGCUACAGGCUUAACACAUGCAAGUCGAGGGGAAACGAUAUUGGAAGCUUGCUUCCGAUAGGCGUCGACCGGCGCACGGGUGAGUAACGCGUAUCCAACCUGCCCACCACUUGGGAAUAACCUUGCGAAAGUAAGACUAAUACCCAAUGACGUCUCUAGAAGACAUCUGAAGGAGAUUAAAGAUUUAUCGGUGAUGGAUGGGGAUGCGUCUGAUUAGCUUGUUGGCGGGGUAACGGCCCACCAAGGCGACGAUCAGUAGGGGUUCUGAGAGGAAGGUCCCCCACAUUGGAACUGAGACACGGUCCAAACUCCUACGGGAGGCAGCAGUGAGGAAUAUCGGUCAAUGGGCGAGAGCCUGAACCAGCCAAGUAGCGUGCAGGAUGACGGCCCUAUGGGUUGUAAACUGCUUUUAUAAGGGAAUAAAGUGAGCCUCGUGAGGCUUUUUGCAUGUACCUUAUGAGUAAGGACCGGCUAAUUCCGUGCCAGCAGCCGCGGUAAUACGGAAGGUCCGGGCGUUAUCCGGAUUUAUUGGGUUUAAAGGGAGCGUAGGCCGGAGAUUAAGCGUGUUGUGAAAUGUAGAUGCUCAACAUCUGCACUGCAGCGCGAACUGGUUUCCUUGAGUACGCACAAAGUGGGCGGAAUUCGUGGUGUAGCGGUGAAAUGCUUAGAUAUCACGAAGAACUCCGAUUG
Molecule: ribosomal RNA, 696 nt
Filed under: uncultured bacterium
Lineage: Bacteria
Description: bacterial SSU rRNA
Rfam family: Bacterial small subunit ribosomal RNA
Source: RNAcentral